CAGACUCAGUGGUUAUUUAUGUUCCAGAUAACUCCCUGCCCUUGGUUUGGAGGAGCCUUCAUUGUUCCCUUCUGCUCAGGGAAUGAUUUCUUUAAUGCAACAGCCUCUCUUGGUCCAUCAGUGCAGUCGAUGCCUCUGCAGGGUCCCUGCCGAGAGACCCAGGGGAUGUUGCAGCCGGUGAAGGGGUUUUCCAGGUUGGAUCGUGCUCUGCUCAGCACCACUACAGUGCCCUCUUGUGGAACCCUCUCCUCUGCUCCCUUUCCACUGUUACUCCCCAAGGAAACGAUUGCUCACACGGAGCAAGAGCACU
Long non-coding RNA from Melopsittacus undulatus (budgerigar), 310 nucleotides. RefSeq lists it as uncharacterized. The transcript is spliced from 3 exons. Lineage: Eukaryota; Metazoa; Chordata; Aves; Psittaciformes; Psittaculidae. The record is from RefSeq and is a predicted model, not a curated record.